UUUCCGUAGGUGAACCUGCGGAAGGAUCAUUCAUAAUAAAGUGUUUUAUGGCACUUUUUAAAAAUCCAUAUCCACCUUGUGUGCAAUGUUAGAUCUCGUCAAUCUUGGCGAGAUUUUUAUACAUCAACUCAUUCUUUAACUACUUUGUCUGAAAAAUAUUAUGAAUACUUAAUCCAAAAUACAACUUUCAACAACGGAUCUCUUGGCUCUC
This 211-nucleotide unclassified non-coding RNA is filed under the name plant metagenome. RNAcentral describes it as "partial contains small subunit ribosomal RNA, internal transcribed spacer 1, and 5.8S ribosomal RNA". The record is from RNAcentral.